This 1719-nucleotide long non-coding RNA is filed under the name Helianthus annuus (common sunflower). RNAcentral describes it as "hypothetical non coding rna". The record is from RNAcentral. Lineage: Eukaryota; Viridiplantae; Streptophyta; Magnoliopsida; Asterales; Asteraceae.
CCGACCCGGAUAAUUGGUUUAAUCAUAUUCAUACCUACUUUCCGUUAAUCGCGUCUCCCGCAUCCUAAUGGCGACGACACCGUUCAUAUGAUACAACCGGUCGAUCUUCCUCCAAUAGGGUUAUUCCGAUGACAUUCUCUGUUUCACCCAAAUAUGCUUGUUUAUUAGGGUUACUCUGAUGCCAUUCUCCGUUUCAGCCAAAUCAAGCCCAUUUGGGAGGCACGUGUAACAGUUGUUUGGCUUGACAAAAUUUAUCACCCUGUUCGUAUUCCACCAGAUGUGAGAUCCAAAACUGACCCGUUUAUUCGUCAUGAUGUGCCCGAUUGAUGUAUCAUAUCAAAAAGGUCUAACAAACACUUUUGAAGUAUUUUACAAGAUAUAUCUUUUUCGAUAAGGUUAAGAUUGUUAUAUUAAUAUAUUCAUAUCGUGUUUUUUGUUUUUGAAAGAUUACCUUGAUGAUUAAAGUUUUGUGUUGAUUUAUACUUAAUGAAAAUCUUAAUACUUAAAUGACAUUUAGAUGCAGUCCAUAAACCGCAUGCUUAAACUAAAAGUACUAAAUUUGGAAAAAUCGAUAUAGAUGAUGUUCCAGGUAUAGGUAUAUGAGGCUUUGAUAUAUAAAGGUUAUUUCUCUUUAUUGUCGUCUUUUUUAUGUUUUUAGUAACUAUGACACAUUCAUUAAACUGGGCAUCUACAUAAUAUAUGUUUUCUUUAUAUGUUAGUUAGAAUUUAGGUUAUUGAGGAUGAUGUUCAAAAAAAGAUGAGCACCAUCAUAAGCAUGAUCAUCAUACCAUCAUGAAUUAUUUUACUCAGUUAUGCAUAAUUGUUAUUUAGGAGUAAUGUUUUUUUUCCUGUUCAAUACUUCAUGAUGAUACCCAUGACCCUGGGUAUCUUCAGUUAGCAUAAUUUGUGAUGGGAGCUUAGAUCUUGAAAAGGCAAAUACUUCAUGUUUGUUGUAAUACUUUUUCAAACUUUCUCAACUUUAAAACCAACUACUAUUUGUUCCAAUAAACUUUAUUGUACAUGUCUUUAACAUAUAUUUUUUUAAAUUAGUUUAGCAUUUCUUAAACAUGUAUUCACUGGUGGAAAGUUGAAUGUGGCACUUUCAAGAGUAGAAGUAAAAUUACUAAUAUUAGAUAGAGACAGUUAAGUUACAAAUUAAAAGACAAAUAUUAUAUACAAGGAACUAUUUAGAUAUUUAUGAUUACUUUAUAAUACAUUGUGACUUGUAAUUGUAAUUUUUUUUAUUUAAUGUAAUAUCUAAUUUUAUUUAUCUUUAUUUUACUUGUAUAUUUAUGACUUACAUAAUUUAAAUUGUUUCACCCGUGUAUUACACGGGUAGAUAACCUAGUAAUAAUAAUAAACAAAAAGACGAGAAAAUAGGGUAAUAAAAACGUAACAAAAUAUUAAAAAAACUUGAAAAUAUGGUACUCAAAAUCCUGGAAAAUAGAGUAUUAAAAAUACCCCGUUUGUGCAUCUUACGUUAUUGGGUUUGAUCAAAAAAUCAGUAUUUUCAGAUUGUGACAGUUUGUUGGCAAUUAGCCAAACCCAACAACAUAUAUUGAACUUAAAUAAACACUAAUCACAUGUCUUUUGUUCAAAAAAAAUAAUAUUAAACGCUAAUCACAUAAACUUUAAUGACCACUAACUUUAUUUUUAUUAUGAUGAGCGUCUCCAUGUUAUCGAUAAAUCUCAUAAAUCAUUUGCAAGUAACAAAUACUC